GACAACGUUUCAAAUGGAACGCUAAUACCGACAUACGUCUCUACGAGGAGAAAGCAGGGGACCUUCGGGCCUUGCGCUAUCAGAUGAGCCUAUGUCGGAUAAGCUAUCUGCGUGGGGUAAUGGCUCACCAAGGCGACGAUCCGUAGCUGGAUCUGAUGAGGAUGAUCGCCCACACGGGAACUGAGACUCGGCCCAGACUCCUACUGGAUGCAGCAUGGGGGGAAUAUUGGACAAUGGGCGAAAGCCUGAUCCAGCNAUGCCGCGUGUGAGAAGAAGGUCUUCCGAUUGUAAACUACUUUAAGUUGGGAGGAAGGGCAGCAAACUAAUACCUUGCUGUUUUGACGUUACAGACCCAAUAAGCACCGGUUAACUCUGUGCCAGCACUCUCGGUAAUACAGACGGUGCAAGCGCUAAUCGGAAUUACUGGGCGUAAAGCGUCGCGUACGUGGUUUGUUAAGUUGGAUGUGAAAGCCCCGGGCUCAACCUGGGAACUGCAUCCACCACUGGGAACCUAUUAGUGCCGUAGAGGGCGGCGGAAUUUCCUGUGGAUCCGUGAAAUGCGUAGAUAUAGGAAGGAACACCAGAGGCGAAGGCGACCACCUGGACUGAUACUGACACUGAUGCGCCAUAGCGUGGGGAGNNAACAGGAUUAGAUCACCUGGUAGUCCACGCCGCAUACGAUGUCUACUAAUCUCUGGAAUCCUUGAGANNUUACUGGNGCAUCUAACGCAUUNUAUCGACCGCCUGNNGAAUACAGCCGCAGGUUAAACUCAAUGAUUGACGNNGUNGCAAACCNNCUNCACAUGUGUUUAUUCAAUCACAUAACACUUACCGCCUGACUGCGAUACUUCCA
RNAcentral lists this ribosomal RNA (853 nucleotides) under Pseudomonas sp. RNAcentral's name for it is "bacterial SSU rRNA". It matches the Rfam family "Bacterial small subunit ribosomal RNA", at positions 142 to 998 of the family's 1533-position model. The record is from RNAcentral. Lineage: Bacteria; Pseudomonadati; Pseudomonadota; Gammaproteobacteria; Pseudomonadales; Pseudomonadaceae.